Molecule: small nucleolar RNA, 86 nt
Organism: Talaromyces stipitatus ATCC 10500
Lineage: Eukaryota; Fungi; Ascomycota; Eurotiomycetes; Eurotiales; Trichocomaceae
Rfam family: A. fumigatus snoRNA Afu_294
Source: Rfam
UCGCCUGAUGAACAACAAAUAUUUCGCUGUGUUCUUACCGAGUCUCGGCAUUGAAGAAAAACUAUUUCACCUUGGAGAACUGAUCC